Gigantopelta aegis is the source of this 812-nucleotide long non-coding RNA. RefSeq lists it as uncharacterized. The record is from RefSeq and is a predicted model, not a curated record. The transcript has 2 exons. Lineage: Eukaryota; Metazoa; Mollusca; Gastropoda; Neomphalida; Peltospiridae.
AUGUGAUGCUGAUAUGUGCUUCAUCAAUGUCAUAGCCAAAUGGCCUGGGUCAGUGCACGACGCGCGAAUUUUGAGACAAUCGCCCCUGUUUGCGGACUAUGAAGAAAACAAACCUCCACUAAACGGCAUUAUACUGGAAGAUAGUGGAUACAUGGCUCGAACGUGGCUCAUGACACCCAUUAUGAACCCAACUACAAGAAAACGGACAAAUUUCAACUUUGCUCACUCGUCAAUACGAACAACUGUUGAACGAAGCAUUGGUGUGGUUAAACAAAGAUUUCAUUGUCUCCGUUGUGGUUUACCACUGCAACCCCCCCCCCCCCCCCCCCCCCCCCCAAAGCCUGCAAAGUCAUUAUUGUGUGUUUCAUGUUGCACAACCAUACAAGACGUCAGAAUCUUCCACCACCCGACGAUGCAACAAACCCUUCAAGCAUUUCAGAAGAUGGGGAUGAUGGGGACGAUUGUACUACCCAGCAAACCAUAUCAGAGAGAACAAGAACAGCGGCAGGGAAAACAGUUAGAGACAGAAUAAUCAACGAAUGCUUUUAAAAGCUGCAUUCUACGCUUGGAAUAGGUAGUUUGCUCUUCCUCUUUGUUGUCUGCUUAGUAGAAUACACGGAUCUUGUAUUACUCGACGAACCAAUGGAAUUGAAGGUUGAUGUACUUUCGCCCCCAGUUGAUGAAGAUGGGCCACUAACAUUUUCCUCUGUGUUGUUACCGAUGCACGCGUCAGAUGUAACACUUAAUUCAGCAUUGUUUCCAAUAUCUGUAGGAAAUUAUAAUAAAAAAUGAAAUAAAUACCUUGCAAAUGA